RNAcentral lists this long non-coding RNA (1976 nucleotides) under Glycine max (soybean). RNAcentral's name for it is "long non-coding RNA (GMAX_LNC000660)". The record is from RNAcentral. Lineage: Eukaryota; Viridiplantae; Streptophyta; Magnoliopsida; Fabales; Fabaceae.
AUGGAUCGAUUUUGGGCUUCCAUUGUACCAAGAAGCCUGGAUAUCUCUUGCUCCAAGAAACCAGGUACCACAUCCCAUGAAUUUUCCGAAUUUAUAUUAUCCAAUUAGUUAAAAAAAUUCUCAUAUUAUCAAUUACUUAAUUUUGCAUUAUUGUAUUAAUACAAAAUUGUGAUUGUUAUGAUUGAGAAAGUGUAUCCCUUGAUAAGUAAUAAAAAUACGAAUUUAACAUCACAAAGCAUCGUCGCUACGUAAAACGGUGCUUGUUAGGAAAAAAAAUAAAAAGGACAGGAAAUGAAAACAAAGAAAGCAACCAAAGUAUUAAGAGAUUUGAAAAGAAAAGAAAAAACAGUACGUACUAGAGAAGAGAUUUGCAAUCAUGGUUUAACUUAAGGAGUUUGGCUUCGCCUAUGUAAUUAUUGAGAUAUUAAUCAAUUCUUCCAAUUGGCAAUCACUUUUUCUUAGUCUAUUAAAGUCAUUUAUGAUUUAUAUAAACAUCCAUCGACCUGAGAAAAUCAUAACCUCGUAAUGAUUUGAAUUUUAUCAUUCUUCCAUUUUUUUGGCAAAAUCAUCAAUAACUUAUUCAUAAUCAAGAUUUUUAAAUAAUCAUAUUCAAUAGAAAUCAAAACAAGUUUAUUUAACCUACCUUGUGUCAUAGUUUCAGAUAAGAUUUUAACAAUUUUAAAUUCGAUAAAUUAGUUUUUUUUUAGUGUAUAGAAUAGGAACAACAAUAGUUAAUAUUCUUUUAUAAGUUGUAUAUGCAUUAGCAAAACAAUUAAAUGUUUUCGAAUAACUAAAUCAUAAAGUUUGAUUUUGAUUCAUUGUUGAAGUUUGAAUCAUAACAAUUGUAAUAUUUUUUUUUCAAAAACUUUGAUUAUGUAAUUAUGUUAACACUAAUAGUAAUGGAAGGAAAUAAUUUGUUAUAUUUUUCUCUUUUACGCUUAACAUUGUACUUAAAUUAUUGAUUCUUUUUCUGAAAAUUGUAAAUAAAUUUUGUUGAUAAGUUUAAUGGUAACUUUCGAUCGGUGACACUUGUUUGUUGAAGACUUCAAGUGAACUUUAUACUUGGAAAAAUCAGUCCAUUAUUUCAUUUCUAUUUAACUAUUUAAAAAGAUCAAAUUUCUACUCACCCCCUCCCCACCAUUCAUCACCUCACCUACACACAUGGCCCAUUUUGUUUUUCUUCAUCUGUUUCUCACAGGGUAUCAGCCAGGCCCAUUUUCAUCAUGUAUUUAGUUUUCUUUUUCUUUUUUUGUUAUUGAGGAGGGGCAAAGCCUCUAAACACUAAACUGACCCUCCCAGUCCUAAGAGAGAUCACAGAGGACAGAUCCAGGGGGUAUGAGUACGGAUUGCCCAAUCAUCACUUGGAGUGCCUAAAACAAAUAAUGAGAUGCCUUAAAUAGUUACCCAGAUAAUCCUGAACCAGAAGCCUGUUACAAGCAACGGGAGCAGAAAUAAGGACAGACAGGGUAAUGGUUGGUUGUAUACAAAAUUCUAAAUUUACUGACUCGAAAUCCAACAUUCCAUGAAGAUUAAGCUUAUGGGAUUGUAGCCUUUUGGAUUAUAUUCAAAUUGGAUGUUUGGUUUGCCUCGACAUCGAGACAAUUGGCAUAUAUAUAGGAAAGCAAACAAGGGGAAAGAAGGAAUUAUAGGAAUCUAAAACUUGAAUAAGUGAGAGACAAUAUUGCCUCAGUAUGACAUAAAAUUCGUGAUGUGAUACUUUAUCUUCCUUACAGCAUCAUGCCAGUAAUAAAAAUUCAUAAUUUUGAAUGUUUUCAGACUUUUAAAGUAGUAUACUGGUUUAUAUUCUGGGAAACAUAUUGGUAGAGUUCUUCCUCUUCUUGCAAAUUUACUCUAUUUUAGCUUGUCUCCCUACAUUUUGGUAUCAUUUUAGCAAGUCUUUCCCCCAAACUGGCUUUAUUUCAAUCUAUUUCCUGCAAGUUUGUUCCAUUUUAUAUGCAUUACAAAUAAUAUUCAUA